This 197-nucleotide ribosomal RNA is filed under the name uncultured bacterium. RNAcentral describes it as "partial 16S ribosomal RNA". It matches the Rfam family "Bacterial small subunit ribosomal RNA", at positions 328 to 539 of the family's 1533-position model. The record is from RNAcentral.
ACGCUCGACACCUACGGAGGCAGCAGUGGGGAAUAUUGCACAAUGGGGGAAACCCUGAUGCAGCAACGCCGCGUGAAGGAAGACGGUUUUCGGAUUGUAAACUUCUGUUCUUAGUGAAGAUAGUGACGGUAGCUAAGGAGCAAGCCACGGCUAACUACGUGCCUGCAGCCGCGGUAAUCUGAGCGGGCUGGCAAGGC